CUCUGUGACUCCUACGGGAGGCAGCAGUGGGGGAAUAUUGCACAAUGGGCGCAAGCCUGAUGCAGCCAUGCCGCGUGUAUGAAGAAGGCCUUCGGGUUGUAAAGUACUUUCAGCAGUGAGGAAGGCGGGUACGUUAAUAGCGUAUUCGUUUGACGUUAGCUGCAGAAGAAGCACCGGCUAACUCCGUGCCAGCAGCCGCGGUAAUACGGAGGGUGCGAGCGUUAAUCGGAAUUACUGGGCGUAAAGCGCAUGCAGGUGGUUUGUUAAGUCAGAUGUGAAAGCCCCGGGGCUCAACCUCGGAAUUGCAUUUGAAACUGGCAGACUAGAGUACUGUAGAGGGGGUAGAAUUUCAGGUGUAGCGGUGAAAUGCGUAGAGAUCUGAAGGAAUACCGGUGGCGAAGGCGGCCCCCUGGACAGAUACUGACACUCAGAUGCGAAAGCGUGGGGAGCAAACAGGAUUAGAUACCCUGGUAG
This 474-nucleotide ribosomal RNA is filed under the name uncultured bacterium. RNAcentral describes it as "bacterial SSU rRNA". It matches the Rfam family "Bacterial small subunit ribosomal RNA", at positions 328 to 793 of the family's 1533-position model. The record is from RNAcentral.